UGGGGAAUAUUGCACAAUGGGCGCAAGCCUGAUGCAGCCAUGCCGCGUGUAUGAAGAAGGCCUUCGGGUUGUAAAGUACUUUCAGCGAGGAGGAAGGCGUUGUGGUUAAUAACCGCAGCGAUUGACGUUACUCGCAGAAGAAGCACCGGCUAACUCCGUGCCAGCAGCCGCGGUAAUACGGAGGGUGCAAGCGUUAAUCGGAAUUACUGGGCGUAAAGCGCACGCAGGCGGUCUGUCAAGUCGGAUGUGAAAUCCCCGGGCUCAACCUGGGAACUGCAUCCGAAACUGGCAGGCUAGAGUCUUGUAGAGGGGGGUAGAAUUCCAGGUGUAGCGGUGAAAUGCGUAGAGAUCUGGAGGAAUACCGGUGGCGAAGGCGGCCCCCUGGACGAAGACUGACGCUUAGGUGCGAAAGCGUGGGGAGCAAACA
Molecule: ribosomal RNA, 427 nt
Filed under: uncultured bacterium
Lineage: Bacteria
Description: partial 16S ribosomal RNA
Rfam family: Bacterial small subunit ribosomal RNA
Source: RNAcentral